Long non-coding RNA from Salvia miltiorrhiza (redroot sage), 958 nucleotides. RefSeq lists it as uncharacterized. NCBI's taxonomy places the organism in Eukaryota, Viridiplantae, Streptophyta, Magnoliopsida, Lamiales, Lamiaceae. The transcript has 2 exons. The record is from RefSeq and is a predicted model, not a curated record.
CCUCGGAGUGAUCUGACGAGACUCUCUGCUGUUGAAAGGCGACGCAUUCUUGCCCCCAUCCAGAUCGCAGGCGUCAGAGACGGAGCUUUUCCAGCUCUCCUGACUGCAAACAGACAUUGCCAAUCAAGAUAAGAAACAGGAAAUGAGCUGUCUACUGAGCACGAGCUGGCUGUGCUGCUGGGGGUCCCGGAAUCAUUGGCAGAUUUCAGUUUCUGCGCUUUCGACUUUGACACAGAGUACACGUUGCAGAAAUCAGGUGCAAUUUUCAUCAAAUAACUUGGAACAUCCGGAUUCUUGAAGGCCCUGAGAAAGAGGAAGUCAUCAAGAAUUUUGUUUGAGAGUUCAAAUCUCCCACUUGGAAGCAUGUGAAAAAUGCAGCUCUGCUUGUUACCUUGCUAUGGCACCUCGACUCGAAGUGCCUACAACCACGUUCACGAUAGAGUUCCGGCUGGCAUACUCUGCGAGCGUGCUUGCCACAUCGUUGCCUUGCAGAACCACCUCUUUCGAACGAAUCUGCAGCCGCCACAAUCACCAAGAAGAAAGAAAACAAACAAGGUAAGUUCAUCAUAGUUUCAUGGAAUUCGAUUAUCUUUUCUUGUGUUGAUAAUACGUAGAUGCAAAAAAGAUGUUGCACAAUGCUGCAAUAGAGGAUCUGGCUCGGGAUUAGGGUUCGUCGUUUUACCCCUUUUCGAGCACAAAAACCGCGGUAAGGAAGGAAUAGUUGCUGUGUUUCAGCUGGAGUUGGCUCUCUGCCCUCUCUAGGAGCAUCAUCUGCAGAUAUAAUACCAAAAUUAGCAGUGCUUCAAGAAGUAAACCUUCAACUUAUGAAAUCGUAUGAAAUUAUUAUAAGAAUAAUUAGAUUUUAUAUUUUACUGCAUGGCAUUUGUGAUUUAAUGGAGAUUCAUAAUCUAUAUUGAAAAUAUUUGUUUCUAUUUAACCAAAUUUAAGUCUUUGAUCA